RNAcentral lists this long non-coding RNA (317 nucleotides) under Zostera marina. RNAcentral describes it as "long non-coding RNA (ZMAR_LNC003226)". The record is from RNAcentral. Lineage: Eukaryota; Viridiplantae; Streptophyta; Magnoliopsida; Alismatales; Zosteraceae.
UCCGUUGUAUCCCCCUCUUCUGUCGAUGACGCUCCAUAGCCACGGAUUGAAGAACCCGGAUGUAGCACGCUUCAUCAAUAUCAUCAAGGGCAGUAUUUUCCAAGGUAGCCCAGUCGGCCUCCUUCUCAAUUGUGGAAUCCAAUUGGCCAAGUGCUUGUUCAUAGAUCCCAGCAAUCCGAGGGGCUUGCAUAUGUUCGGUCACAAACAGACGGUCACCAAAGCCUUGGUUAUUUGCAUCGUCAGAAAAGUUAAUGUACUUGGUGUAGUCAUCAGAAAGAACGUUGGAAGAAUCACCAGCAUUAUCAACCACUUCCGUA